This 301-nucleotide ribosomal RNA is filed under the name uncultured bacterium. Its description in RNAcentral is "partial 16S ribosomal RNA". It matches the Rfam family "Bacterial small subunit ribosomal RNA", at positions 509 to 807 of the family's 1533-position model. The record is from RNAcentral.
CAGCAGCCGCGGUAAUACGUAGGGUGCAAGCGUUAAUCGGAAUUACUGGGCGUAAAGCGUGCGCAGGCGGUUCGCUAAGACAGAUGUGAAAUCCCCGGGCUUAACCUGGGAACUGCAUUUGUGACUGGCGGGCUAGAGUAUGGCAGAGGGGGGUAGAAUUCCACGUGUAGCAGUGAAAUGCGUAGAGAUGUGGAGGAAUACCGAUGGCGAAGGCAGCCCCCUGGGCCAAUACUGACGCUCAUGCACGAAAGCGUGGGGAUCAAACAGGAUUAGAUACCCCUGUAGUCCCUGUCUCUUAUAC